This 72-nucleotide transfer RNA is filed under the name Chlamydia sp. 32-24. Its description in RNAcentral is "tRNA-Cys". It matches the Rfam family "tRNA". From Rfam's summary of the family: Transfer RNA (tRNA) molecules are approximately 80 nucleotides in length. Their secondary structure includes four short double-helical elements and three loops (D, anti-codon, and T loops). Further hydrogen bonds mediate the characteristic L-shaped molecular structure. tRNAs have two regions of fundamental functional importance: the anti-codon, which is responsible for specific mRNA codon recognition, and the 3' end, to which the tRNAs corresponding amino acid is attached (by aminoacyl-tRNA synthetases). tRNAs cope with the degeneracy of the genetic code in two manners: having more than one tRNA (with a specific anti-codon) for a particular amino acid; and 'wobble' base-pairing, i.e. permitting non-standard base-pairing at the 3rd anti-codon position. Lineage: Bacteria; Pseudomonadati; Chlamydiota; Chlamydiia; Chlamydiales; Chlamydiaceae. The record is from RNAcentral.
GGUGGCAUGGCCAAGCGGUAAGGCAGAAGCCUGCAAAGCUUCGAUUCCCCAGUUCGAAUCUGGGUGCCACCU